GGGCCGGUGGUCUAGCCUGGUUAUGACGUCGCCCUUACACGGCGAAGCGUUCCGUGCGCCAAAGUCGGCGGUCCAACUCCGCCCCGGCCCA
RNAcentral lists this transfer RNA (91 nucleotides) under Nitrososphaerota archaeon. RNAcentral's name for it is "tRNA-Val". It matches the Rfam family "tRNA". Rfam says of the family: Transfer RNA (tRNA) molecules are approximately 80 nucleotides in length. The record is from RNAcentral. Lineage: Archaea; Thermoproteati; Nitrososphaerota.